GAUGAACGCUAGCGAUAGGCUUAACACAUGCAAGUCGAGGGACCGGCGCACGGGUGCGUAACGCGUAUGCAACUUUCCUCACAGAGGGGGAUAACCCGUCGAAAGACGGACUAAUACCGCGUACUGUGAGAUAGGCAUGCGUCCCAUUAGCUAGUUGGUGAGGUAACGGCGCACCAAGGCAACGAUGGGUAUGGGAAAUGAGAGGUUGAACCCCCACAAUGGAACUGAGACACAGACCAGAAUGCUACGGGAGGGAGCAGUUAGGAAUAUUGGGCAAUGGGCGAGAGCCGGAACCAGCCAAGUCGCGUGAAGGAUGACUGGCUAUGGAUUGUAAACUUCUUGUGUAGGGGAAUAUGUACCCUACGAAUAAGCAUCGGCUAACUCCGUGCCAGCAGCCGCGGUAAUUC
RNAcentral lists this ribosomal RNA (407 nucleotides) under uncultured bacterium. RNAcentral's name for it is "partial 16S ribosomal RNA". It matches the Rfam family "Bacterial small subunit ribosomal RNA", at positions 28 to 526 of the family's 1533-position model. The record is from RNAcentral.